GGAGAGUUGGUCCGAGGGGUUAAGGUGACGGACUGUAAAUCCGUUCUCAUUUGAGGUCUCAGGUUCGAAUCCUGAACUCUCCA
Molecule: transfer RNA, 83 nt
Filed under: Streptococcus suis
Lineage: Bacteria; Bacillati; Bacillota; Bacilli; Lactobacillales; Streptococcaceae
Description: tRNA-Tyr
Rfam family: tRNA
About the family: Transfer RNA (tRNA) molecules are approximately 80 nucleotides in length. Their secondary structure includes four short double-helical elements and three loops (D, anti-codon, and T loops).
Source: RNAcentral